This is a long non-coding RNA of Neogale vison (American mink), 1713 nucleotides long. RefSeq lists it as uncharacterized. NCBI's taxonomy places the organism in Eukaryota, Metazoa, Chordata, Mammalia, Carnivora, Mustelidae. The transcript is spliced from 4 exons. The record is from RefSeq and is a predicted model, not a curated record.
GCAUGGGGCUUGAACUCAUGACCCUGAGAUCAAGACCAGAGCUUCUUAAGGAUGGUACUUCCUAUCACAGGACCUCCCUCUGGGCAUCUGCUGAAUGUACUAGAGAAGGGUAUACAGUGUUAAGAAGAUGCUCAGGCUAUUAGAAUCCAGGCCUUGGGAGUCCGGCUCUGGCAAAGUCACCAGCACUCCAAGCCUCAGGCUAAAAAGAAGCCAUAAAAAUAGCCAAACGGACAAACGAAGGCAAGUGCAUCUGAGCCGCUGUGGUUUUACCAGGAUGUCAGUGUUCUACAGACGAUUAGGCCCAGAAGCAAUUCAAAUGAGCUCUGUCGGGUGGAUCUCAAACUGGCAGGCAACAGGUAACAACAAAGAAACCCCCUCAGGUUUAAUGAGGGCUGGACAGAGAAUGAAGUGACCAAAACCGAAGGUUGCUCUUGAGUCUGGCUUUACUUAAUGUCGUUAGCUAUCUUUUGGGGAAAAGCCAUUAAUUUCCAUCUUCUGGGAACAGCACAUUACUACACUCUCAAGCUAUCGGGGGAAGGGAAGACUCGCCUGGGUUCUCCUGCAGGACUCCGGGACCAGACAGGCCCGUACUAUUCAAUCUGCUUAUCCAAGCCCGUCAUCCAAAAGGAAGAAUCCACAGAGACACAGUAAACCGUAAAACCACACAGCUGCAGGGCCCUGAUUCUCAGAAUGAACGGUGACUGAGGGGAUGGGCUGGGAGCUAGACCAGAGGGGAAUCUGCAGUGCCUACACUGUAACCAUGGGCAAGUUAGCCCCACAGAGUCUCGGAGUCCCAGGACAGUAAAUGAACCUAAGGAUAUCACGAUCUAGCAAACACGGGAUGCCGAAGAAAGUGUUUCUCGUUCUUCGUGCAGGCAAGGCCCAGGGAUUUUAAGGGACUCUAAAAAGAGGGCAUGAAGCAGAAAUCACCAUCUUAAUUAUUUUACAGGAAUUAAAAUAAAUGUUAAGGGAAAAAUGAUGGCUGACGUUUCUCUGACUGAGGUCUGUAUUACACUAAUAUAUUUAAUUAUCAAGCCCCCCGCGCUGUGCCAGCUCCUGUGCCAGGCAGUAGCCUCUGGCCCCUGGAGGCUCUAGACUUGAAUUUGUGGGGGAGAAUAGCAGAGGGGCACCUGAGCCAGGACUGGAUGUCGCAGAAGGCUUCCUGGAGAAAGUGAAAUUUAAGCAAGAAGCUGGAACAUGCCUGCAUAUCGGGUAGCCGAAGUAGCUGCCCAGAGAAGCUGGAUGGGUAUUUUAGUGCGAGAGAGAAGCACAUACAAAGGGCCAGCUGACAAAAGUAGAAGGAGAGAGGAGAGAAUGAAGGGAGAUACAGCAAGGUAAUAAAGCAGGAGCCCGAAAGGGAGAUCUGGUCCGGGGUUUGAGUUUUAGGAGCAUUUUGCAGUGCAGAAGCAGCACCCUGGCCACAGGCACAGGGUGGUGAACGGAGCCUGAGACAGGCAGUCUGUGGACAGGAAGGUGUGUUUCAGGAGAUGAGAGAACCCCGCUAGCGUGCCAGAAAGGGGAUGGAGAGACGAGGACGGAGUUACGCGAGAGAAGCCACAGAAGUAAUAAACAGACUUGAGUAGGAGAGGAAAGGAGUUUGACCUUCUUCUUACUGUUCAGGGAAGACACACUAGGGGUUUCUCUAAGACCUUCGGGAACAGGAAAGGGGCAGGGGUGCUAUUCCUGUUUCAUAGGUGAGCAAGUUUAGGGAGU